AGUGAACGCUGGCGGUAGGCCUAACACAUGCAAGUCGAACGGCAGCACAGUAAGGGCUUGCUCUUACGGGUGGCGAGUGGCGGACGGGUGAGGAAUACAUCGGAAUCUACUUUUUCGUGGGGGAUAACGUAGGGAAACUUACGCUAAUACCGCAUACGCCCUACGGGUGAAAGCAGGGGAUCUUCGGACCUUGCGCGAUUGAAUGAGCCGAUUUCGGAUUAGCUAGUUGGCGGGGUAAAGGCCCACCAAGGCGACGAUCCGUAGCUGGUCUGAGAGGAUGAUCAGCCACACUGGAACUGAGACACGGUCCAGACUCCUACGAGGGGCAGCAGUGGGGAAUAUUGGACAAUGGGCGCAAGCCUGAUCCAGCCAUACCGCGUGGGUGAAGAAGGCCUUCGGGUUGUAAAGCCCUUUUGUUGGGAAAGAAAAGCAGCAGGUUAAUACCCCGCUGUUCUGACGGUACCCAAAGAAUAAGCACCGGCUAACUUCGUG
RNAcentral lists this ribosomal RNA (492 nucleotides) under uncultured bacterium. RNAcentral's name for it is "partial 16S ribosomal RNA". It matches the Rfam family "Bacterial small subunit ribosomal RNA", at positions 29 to 507 of the family's 1533-position model. The record is from RNAcentral.